GUGCCAGCCGCCGCGGUAAUACAGAGGGUGCGAGCGUUGUUCGGAAUUAUUGGGCGUAAAGGGCGCGUAGGCGGUGCGGUAAGUCACCUGUGAAAUCCCCGGGCUUAACCCGGGGCCUGCAGGCGAAACUGCCGUGCUGGAGUAUGGGAGAGGUGCGUGGAAUUCCCGGUGUAGCGGUGAAUCGCGUAGAUAUAGGGAGGAACACCUGUGGCGAAAGCGGCGCACUGGACCAUAACUGACGCUGAGGCGCGAAAGCUAGGGGAGCAAACAGGAUUAGAUACCCUGGUAGUCC
Molecule: ribosomal RNA, 292 nt
Filed under: uncultured bacterium
Lineage: Bacteria
Description: partial 16S ribosomal RNA
Rfam family: Bacterial small subunit ribosomal RNA
Source: RNAcentral